CUUUCUUCAAUCAAAGUAACUGUCCGCUUUUGUUUGUUUCAGUUGGAGCCUGCUUCCAUACAAAAGAUAGCUGCCGCUUGAACGGAUCGCAGAAUUUGAUACGUUUACCAAUAACGACAUUAGGCCUGUUGAAAGACAUUCCUCAAGCAAUGCGACCCUAGUAGCGUGUGACCUAAUUCGGGAGAGAAAGAUCAGGUCGACAACAACCGAUAGCCAAAAAUCGAGCGCCAAAAAAAGAUGUACUUUGUUACUCGUGGCUAUGUAGUAUCCUCUAUACAUUCUGAUGUGGACCGGCAAGCAGGUGUGAGCGGAUUGGCAUUGAUUAGUGGACAGAACAUUUUUGUUAUGGGACGUGCAUCGGACUGACCCGAAUGUGCGCUAUUGCUGCUGCAAACAGCUACAGUGAUGCAGUGGACAUCAACGGUCAACAUUCAAUUUUGCAUGUGUCUGAAAAAAUAACUAUCCGAGUG
Long non-coding RNA from Sycon ciliatum, 470 nucleotides. RefSeq lists it as uncharacterized. NCBI's taxonomy places the organism in Eukaryota, Metazoa, Porifera, Calcarea, Leucosolenida, Sycettidae. The transcript is spliced from 3 exons. The record is from RefSeq and is a predicted model, not a curated record.